This 328-nucleotide ribosomal RNA is filed under the name uncultured eukaryote. RNAcentral's name for it is "partial 18S ribosomal RNA". It matches the Rfam family "Eukaryotic small subunit ribosomal RNA", at positions 1470 to 1796 of the family's 1831-position model. The record is from RNAcentral.
CCCUUAGAUGUCCUGGGCCGCACGCGCGCUACACUGAUGCAUGCAACGAGUUUAUAACCUUGGCCUGAAAGGUCUGGGUAAUCUUUUGAACGUGCAUCGUGAUAGGGAUAGAUUAUUGCAAUUGUUAAUCUUGAACGAGGAAUUCCUAGUAAACGCGAGUCAUCAGCUCGCAUUGAUUACGUACCUGCCCUUUGUACACACCGCCCGUCGCACCUACCGAUUGAAUGGUUCGGUGAAGAUCUCGGACUUCGAUAUUUAUUCUUUAUUGAGUUUAUAUUGUGGGAAGUUAUCUAAACCUCAUCAUUUAGAGGAAGGUGAAGUCGUAACA